Molecule: long non-coding RNA, 264 nt
Filed under: Salvia miltiorrhiza (redroot sage)
Lineage: Eukaryota; Viridiplantae; Streptophyta; Magnoliopsida; Lamiales; Lamiaceae
Description: long non-coding RNA (SMIL_LNC010137)
Source: RNAcentral
UGUUGGUGUUUUGCUUGGUGAGUAGAAUCGCUUGUGGAUUUCCAUUUGAUGUUGUGAUUGUUGCUUGAGGACAAGCAAGGAAUUAAGUGUGGGGGGGUUGUUUAGCCCUAUUUUGUGAUGAAUUUAUGGGUGUUUACAUCUUAUAUUGACUUUUAUUUUGGUCUCUUUCACUCAAGAGUUGAUUGAUUUGAGUUGUUGUGCUAAUUUUGUUGUCUCAGGAUUUUGUGCUCAAAUUGAUUGAUAUGUGGACAAAAAUAAAGUCAG